GAGGUGACAGUGGUUGGUGCUUUAAUCGCUGGGCUGGAUUUCUGGCUCUGCCCUUUUUGAUACUUAAAGAGCCUAGGCCCUGAGAGGCCGAGCAUUAGUUUCUGAUAAGCCUGGUGUUUCUUCAUUCAUAUGGGCAAUUGAACAAAUGUUUAUCGAACACCCACUAUCUGUGAUAUCAGGUGCCUGGAUGCAGAGUGACGAGAAGACACAAUCUGCCCUAAAGGAGCUCACCUUGACUCAUGUGGCCCGGUAACGUCUGAUCAGCCAAGAAGUAUAGAUUAUUAUAUAAAAGUAUCAUAACGUUUGUCUUGUGGAGACAGACUGGAAUUUAUUUCUGCAACGUAAAACAUCGGUGGAAUGCAAAUUACCCCUGUCCAAGGACCCAUCAGGGUUUUUGUGAAGGGAAAGUUCUUUUAUCACUCAGGGUGGUGAUGGCUAUGCGUGAAGUCCGCCUCAAGAACACAGUAAUCCUCGGGGGGGAUGCAAGUCAAUGCAGAAAAUCACAUCCAUUUCUUCUACUGGUUUCUGUCAUCACCUUUUGAGAUCUUCAAAACAAGCCCGUGAUUUGAUCACCGUGAGAGCAAACGGUGCCCUCUCACUCCAAGUCGCUAAUACACGGUAUUAUUUUGAGAAGUGAACAGAGAAGAUGACAUUUAACAAAAGACAUCUGGGCGUAUCACAUUUAAAAAGGAAUAGGAGCUGGUUACCCAGGAAGGUUGAAACCAGCAGAGACCACGCGUGAUC
Molecule: long non-coding RNA, 744 nt
Organism: Canis lupus familiaris (dog)
Lineage: Eukaryota; Metazoa; Chordata; Mammalia; Carnivora; Canidae
Exons: 4
Source: RefSeq, a predicted model, not a curated record